AAGGUGAUAGUGAAUCGAUUUAAGAUUAUUUUGCCUAAGAUCAUAGGCCAAGAUCAAGUGGGGUUUAUUAUAGGUAGAAAUAUUAUUGACAAUGUUGUCAUAGUACAACAAGUGUUGCAUUCCAUGAAAAGUAAGAGUACAGUUCAGUGGAAAACUAUUAAGAUAGACUUAGAGAAAGCCUAUGAUAGGGUGCAUUGGGAUUUUAUAGAAGCAUAUUUUAAAGUGGUAGUUAUUUCUAACUUUCUAAUAAAUGUUAUUAUGUCGGCUAUCUCGACAUCCACAAUGUAGGUUUUAUGGAACGAAGUUCCAACCCCUAAGUUCAAGCCUGUUAGAGGAAUCCGUUAGGGGUGUCUUUUAUCUCUAUAUCUUUUUUGUGUUAUGCAUGGAAUGGUUGGCCCAUUGGUUUCAUUCGACUAUCUCAUCUAGGGAAUGAAGCCCUAUUCGGUUAUCUCGAAGAGGGCUUGCCCUUUUACAUUUAUUUUUUGCGGAUGACUUAGUGAUUUUUACCAAAGCGAACUUAUAGCGUAGCAAACUUCUUAUUGACUUGUUUGGGUGAUUCUGUGAGUUUUCCAGGCACAAGGUUAAUGUUUGGAAGACCAAUGUGUUUUUUUCUACUGGAGUCAAUAAAGACUUAGUGAGAAAGAUUAAUGAUAUACUCGGGUUCCAACACAUUUAGGAUCUUGGUCAUUAUCUGGGAGCUCCCCUUCACCAAAGAAUCACCAAAUGUACGUUGAGUUUUUUGGUAGAAAGAGUUCGGAGGAAGCUUUCUAGCUGGGAAGCCAAAGAACUCUCAUUUAUGGGAAGGCUUACUCUAGCAUAGUCAGUUUUACUUUCAAUCCCAAGCUAUCUCAUACAAUCCUUAAUGGUCUCAAAAGGCGUCUACAACGAAAUUGAAGAAAUGGUGCGGCAAUUCAUUUGGAGAUCUUCUGGUGGUAAAAGGAAAACGGCAUUAGUGAGGUGGGAUGUUAUUUGUUAGAUUAGAUCGUAUGGAGGUUUUGGGAUACGACAUCUUAGUGGUCAGAACUUCGCUUUUAUGAUGAGGCUUGGUUUUAAUAUUGUUACCAAAACUGAUGCUUUAUGGGUUCGGGUCCUUAGAGUGAAGUAUGGGAAAAAUGACAGAUUGCCAGAAUGUAUUGCAUAGAGUAGAAACUCUUUUAUGUUGAAAUCCAUUUCUAAGGCAUGGCCUUUACUGUGUGAUAAUUUGAUAUGGUUAAUGAAUAAUGUAAAUAACGUUCAUUGUUGGAAGGAUGCUUAGGUCUCUAAUAUAAUACCAUUAAGAAAACAUGUUCCUGCUUAUGCGAAUGUUGUUUCAUACUGUAAGCUGAGUGAGAUGGUUACGAAAAAUGCCACAUGAAACCUCAAUUUAUUUCGAGUUUGGUUGAUAGAAAAUGUUAUCCAACACAUCGUUAGCAUUCCCCCACCAAUGUCUUUUGUAGGACCAAAUUUGAUUUUUUUUUGUCGUUCUACAACAAUUGCCUUCUUUGUUAAAAGUAAAUAUUGGAUGUUGAAAAAAUGGUCUUGGAAUCCUAGAGAUGUAGUUUGGAAUAUAGUGUGGAAAUUUUCUAGGACUCAGAGAGUUAGACAUUUUAUUUGGAUAGUUCUAAAACAGAGACUCUUAACCAAUGUUGAGAGAAUUCAAAGGAGGAUUGGUCAGGAUGAGUUAUGCCUUCUUUGUGGACAUAGAUAUGUGGAUGCAUUACAUGUACCUAGGGAUUGCUCUGUUGCGAAAGAUGUUUGGUGCCAAGCUUUUCCACUAAGUCAACAUGGGGUUUUCUUUUCUAGCAAUUUAACAGAAUGGUUGAUUUCAAAUUUGCACGAUCACUCAAAUCACAACACGAGGGAUCAAAGUUGGGUUUGUCUAUUCGAGUUAUUAAUGUGGCAUAUUUGGAAAAAUAGAAAUUAUUUUAUCUUCCAAGGUAUAUCCAUGAAUCCAAAUGAUAUUAUUAAGGUCUCAUAUAGCUGGGCUAACCAAUAUAUUUCAGUACAUAGGGACGUGUCGAGGGUCAUCAUCCAAUUUGAUAAUUUUGAUGUUGUUAAAGCUAUUUGCUACCGUCAAUUAGCUGGGGCAAGUAUAUCACUUGUUAAGAGAAUCCAACAUAUUUUAUCCCAUGAAGACAAGAGGUUCGUGCAACAUACCCUUAAGAAAAAUAAUCAGGUAAGGAAUUCAUUAACUAAAAUGACUUUUGCGAAUGAUGAAGAUUUGUGUUUAUUUGAUGUCCUUCUUAUAGAGAUUCAAGUAAUUUUAAAAGAGGAUAGAGUGAGAGGUAAUUUGGCUCCAGUUAUUAAACUAUUUCAGUUUGUUUUUUCACAAAAAAAAUACAUCUAUUAGCCCUCUUAUAUUAACUAAUAAUUAAAAAAAUAUUUUAAAGUUUAUUCUAAUUAAAUUUGGGUGACUUGAUUCACAUACACCAAAUUCAAUUAGAGCUAUAGAUUAAUAAAAAUCUCAUAUGGUCACGUAACCAAUUUGUUAAGUUUUUAAAUGUACACAAAUUAAAAUGUCCUUUUCAAUAAUAAAAGGAUUAAAAUGAACAUUUGGUAUACUAUAAGGACUGGUAUUGUAUUUUAACCUCAUUUUUUGAGUGAACGAUGAUAUUAUAAAAAAAAUGAAAUUAUAACAAAUUAAAAAAUACCAGAACUAUACUUUAACCCAAAAAAACAAUAUCUUCAAUAUAUAUAUACACACAAUUUUUCUUUUAAGAAAUAUGUCAUAUUCUCAAGAGAAAAUACUUAUGUUAAAACUUUAAAGAUGAUAUUGUUGAAAAAAAAUCACAAAUACGAAUAUAAAUCAUAAAAUAAUCAUGAAAAAUAUCAAAAAAUAAGAGUAAAUCUGGAAAAUUUAGAUUUUAAAAUAUUGAGAUUAUUUUUAUUCAAGUUGAAGUUAUAACUUCUUUUGAAUUUAAAUUAUUUGUAGUUAAGGUAAUUUUUUAUUAAAUUCAUUUGGGUAGGUUAGUUCUUUUUUUUUUUGAAAUGCUCGACUGGAUUUUAAACAAAUAAAACAAAGUUUGCCUCUCACUUGGACAUUGGACCAAGGACCAGGCCUUAAAAUAAAGCAAAUAAUAUAAGAUAAACAGGCCUAGAAGACUAAAAUCCCUAAUUGGCCCCCAACAAGAUGGCCUAACUAAACCAAACUUAAAAAAUCAAAACUAAUAAAAAUCUACUCUAGAAAAUUCCAGCCCAAAGAAGACAGCUGUAUCCCAAAAAAUAUUUUGGCUUUCCAAUGCUCCUGCACAGCUCAUAAUAGCAGAUUCCUUCAAAUCCCAUAAGAUCUUUAACCUUCUGUUACACAUUUCCAUUUGACUGUUUCAUUUCAUCAGUCUGGAGUCCGUGGUCUUCUCCUCUCCAGUAUUCGCCGAACAUGCUCAGGAACUCCUCCUUCCAGGUAAUGGCCUUCAUUUACUUUCAACGCUUCCUUUACAAUCACAUGAGCAAAAAAAGUUUUCUGACUUUGGAAUAUGAUGGAAGUUUAGUUUUUGGUAGAAAUGCUUUAUCUCUUGAAUAUUUCUUAUUAUAGCUCCAAUAAUUGAAUUAUCUCUGUCUAUGUUCUGGCAUUUUUUUAUAACAGUUCUUGAAUCUUCAUUUAUGUCGCAUUCAUGAAAACCCAAUAAAAUUCCUAACCUUACUGCUUUUUCUCCUGCAUGUGCUUCCGCCGCAAACGGAGAGGCAACAUUUUCAUGAAUGACCGAUUUUGAGACCAAAAUAUCCCCUUGCAUGUUUCUAACUAGCAACCCUGAUGCGGAUUUGAAGAGUUGUUGAUCGAAAGCCCCAUCAAAAGAAAUGACUACCCUCGUUCGCCGAUCUUCAUGAGUAAAAACCCUUCCUUUAUCAGAGAUAAAUAGUUUCUCUUCUAAGCUUUGCAACUUUGAAAUAUAAUUGCUUAUUUGUCGUGAGAUCUCUCUGCUUGUUCUAUCUUUACUCUCAUAAAGCAAUUGAUUCCUGUUUGACCAGAUAAGCCAAAGCCCGUAGCAAAAUAGUCUGCACAGGUAAACCACUCCCAAAUGCUCUGAAUAUUAUUAUUAAGCACCAAGAGAAAUCUAAGUACUCCCAAACUUCCGUCGUUAUAAGACACAUUCUGAAAACAUAAUUGCUAUCCUCCUCAGACUGCCGACAUUUGGGACAUCAGACUUUAUUUGUAACUCGCCUCAAUUUAAGAUUAGCAAGCGUAGGGAUAUAAUUCCAGGAAAUUUUCCAGAUUGUAAUUUUAAUUUUCAAAGGGAUGUGUAAAUCCCAUAGUUUUCUGUAGAAAGUUGCAUUUUCGGCCUGUAUAAUAUUAUUACCAGGAAUCCGAGUAAUCUUUUGUAAUAGUUUAUAGGCAUUUCUAACCAAAAAGAUGCCUGAUGGUUCUCUACCCCAAACUUGGAAAUCAUCAUGUACAGACCUUGCCAAAGGGAUCAGCAGAAUGUUCUUUGCAAUACCCGCAUCAAAGGUAUUAAAAAUUAGAUCCGCUUUCCAUGUUCUACUUUCGUCCUCAAUCAAAUCAGAGACUAAUUCAAUAUCUGCAUUUCCUCUUUGAUGCUGUAACGUAUUCUCUUCAUAACCCGGUAUCCAAAGAUCGUCCUAGAUAGAGAUACUAUCCCCCUUACUGGUUCUCCAGCAUAAGCCUUUUUCCAGCACUUUUCUAGUUGACCAGAUACUUCUCCAAGUAAGUGAAGUUAGGUUCCCUAACCGUGCAUUUAAAAAUCUGUCGACAAAUAAUACUUGGCUUUUAAAACUCGAGCUAACAACGAAUCUGGAUAAGUAAUUAAAGGCCAACCCUGCUUAGCUAGUAACGCGAUAUUAAAUUUGUCAAACUCUCGGAAUCCAAUACCUCAUUCCUCCUUGAAAGAACAUAAAUCCCUUAAUGCACACCAAUGAAUGUCUUUCUUAUCCCUGCUUUUUUGCCACCAGAACUUUGCUAUUAAUCUCUCCAAUUCCGUACAAAAGGAUUUAGGAAGUAGAAAGCACGACAUAGAAUAAGUUGGAAUGGAUUGAAGAACCGCCUUAAUAAAAACCUCCUUUCCUCCUUGAGAAAGAUGUUUAACACUCUAAUUAUCUAUUCUUUGUUGCAAUCUAUCUUUCAAGUUUUGGAAAGACGCUUUCUUCCUCCUCCCCACUAAAUUAGGUAAACCCAAGUACCGUUUAGGAUCAGUUGAGCAAUGUACUCCAAGCACUCUAGUUACUAAACUUAUAUCCCUUUUUUGAGUAUUGGCACUAAAGAAAAUAGUAGAUUUUGAAUAAUUAACCUUCUGCCCCGAACAACCUUUAUAUUCGUGCAAAAUCUGCUUUAAUGAAAUCGCCCCUCUUUCUGUAGCCUCGCCGAACAGAAUGCAAUCAUCCGCAAAUAAUAAAUGUGAAACCUGUGGACCGCUUCUGCUUGCCUUAACUCCGCGAAGAAUUUUCUUUUUCAUUGUUGGUCUCAUAAGACUAGAUAGACCCUCCCCACAAAAUAGAAAUAAAAAUGGACUCAAGGGAUCUCCUUGUCUAAGGCCCCUAGAAGGAUUGAAAGUAGAACCACUAAAUCCAUUAAACACUAUCGAGUAAGAAACUGUAGUAACACAUCUCAUUAGUGAAUCAACCUAAUCGGGGUCAAAUCCCAUUUUCUUCAUUACCCUUUCUACAAAACUCCAUUCGAUGCUGUCAUACGCCUUACUCAUGUCCAAUUUUACUGCUAUAAAGUCUUUUUUCCCGACUCUUUUGUGCUUCUUUUGUGCUUCAGAGUAUGUAGAAGUUCAUAAGCUAGAAUCACAUUAUCAAAAAUCAAUCUCCCUGGCAUGAAAGCACUUUGUGCUGAAUCAAUACACUUGUCUAUCACAGAUUGGAGACAAUUAGCAAUAACUUUAGCUAUCAAUUUGUAUAAUACAUUACACAAACUAAUAGGACGAAAGUACGUAAUAUUAGAGGGAUUCACAAUUUUUGGGAUUAGCAUAAUAUUUGUCUUGUUAAUUGAGCUUGGAUCCGUACCUUCAUUUAACAAAUUGAGCCAAUAAGACAUGACAUCUUUUCCAAUAAUUAACUAGCAUUUCUGGUAGAAUAGUGCUGGAAAACCAUCCUUACCUAGUGCUUUUGUUGGUCCCAUUUCUUUCAACGCUACAUAAAUCUCUUCCUUUGUAUAUUCAGCCUUGAGUUUUAAAUUGUCCUCCUAAAAAAUGCAACGAUCAAUACUUGAAAAAGUGUGAUUAUAAUUUCGUCUCCUUCCAGCUAGAAACAACUGCUGAAAAUACGAUCUGGCUAUCUUUUCCAUUUCUUCAAUAACUUCAGUUUCCCUGCCGUCGUUAUAUUGUAACUUGCGGAUAUAGUUCUUUCUCCACCUUUGCGUUGCCUGCCGUCGUUAUAUUGUAACAGUACCCAAACCUCUUUUCCGGUAAGAUUUUCGGGGACGAAAAUCCCUAAGGGGGGAGAGUUGUAACAGCCCGAUUCUGGGCCUAGUCGGAAUAGUGGUUUCGGGACCACAAAUCCGACGAGGGAAAAUAUGGUUAUUAUUAUAUUUUUAUGAUCUACAAUUUCACGGAAAAUUUUCGUAAAAAUUUCGUUCGAAAAUUUCGACGUUUGGGCACUCAAUUUAGUCAAAAGGACUAAAUUGUAAAUAGUGCAAAAGUUGAGUUCUAUAUGUAAAAGUAUCUAAUUGAUAUGAAAUUUUAAAUUGGAGGUCUUUAUGUGGUAAUUAGACCAUUAGUUAGUUGAUGGACAAAAAUAGACAUAAGAAAUGAGAGAAAUAGAUUUUUUUUAAGUGGGGGCAUAUUAGUCAUUUGGUAAUAAAAAAAAUAAAAUGGGAAAAAGAUGACAAAAAUCAUCAUCUUCCUCAUUAGUUGCUGCCGAAAUUUGAAGGAAGCCAUAGCUAAGGUUUCUUUGCUUUCUCAAGCUCAUAGUAAGUGCAUCCUAGCCCCGUUUUUAAUGUUCUUCGCAUUUUUGGAAUCCUCGUAACUCGGUUUAGCUUAUUCUAGCAAUAAUUCGUGUUAGGGCUCAUAUUUGGAAAAAUACCCAUAGGUGAAAUGUGUUUAUUUUGCUGUUUUAUGGUGGAAUAUGAAGCUAUAAAUUAUGUUAAACAACUUUUGCUAAGCGAUUUUAAGCGAAAACGGGUAAAUAGGCAUAAUCGGUAAAAAUAAUUAUUGUUCAUAAGUGUAUGUUAGAGUGAGAAUUUGAUGUUGCCAUAGAAGGGGAAAAUGUUCAGCAUGUCAUAAAACCUAAGAAUAAGUGAUGAAGUUUAAUUUCCGAGCUUGGGGACAAAAGUGUAAUUAUGCAAAAGUUUGGGGGCAAAAUUGUAAUUUUUCAAAAAGUUGGGUGGUGGAUUAUUUUAAUGAAUGUGAACAUUAAAUGAGUUAAAUUUGCUAUUAUAGAUCAAGAAAGACGUGAAGAUUAUCUCAAACGAGGAAAAGAAAAGAUAGUGGAGUGAAGUGCAAUAUUACGAUAUUUUGCACCGAGGUAAGUAAACACGUGACUUGAUGUAUUAUUUUGACAUUAAUUGAUAUAUGUUGAGAUUUAUUUGGAAUUAAAAUAAAUGUUUGGCCAUAUCCUAAAAAUGUUGUUAAAUCGGGAAAGGUGGUAAAGGGUUGCAAUAUAUGAUUUAUGGGUUGAACACUCGGAAUAAGCCGAAGUAUGUUGUACAUAAAGGGGUUGCUGUGUGCUGAUUCCCCGAUUCAUUGGUGGUGCUAUGUGCGAUAUCCACCGUAUCUUUGAAAUGUGAAAGGGGGUUGCUAUGUGCUGAUUCCCCCGAGGGGUUGCUAAGUGCUGAUUCCCCAGUUCAUUGGUAGUGCUAAGUGCGAUAUCCACCGUAUCUCUGAAAUAAAGAGGGGGUUGCUAUGUGCUGAUUCCCCCAAGGGGUUGCUAAGUGCUGAUUCUCCGAUUAAGUGGUGGUACCCUCGCCCAUUGUUCCCAAUACCUCUCAUCCUUUUCAAUCUCAAAAUUAACAUCCACCUUUGUAUCAAUUAGUUCUGCUAGAUUUUCAUCGCUUUUAUCUUCUUCUAGCAAUUUUUUCAGCUUUAAAUGCAACAUCUCUUUCUUUGCUUUCCUACUAUAUCGAAUUUUAGCCGCCCAUUUCUGCAACCCUCUUCUAACACACUGCAACUUGUUUAAUAGGUCUCCUGAAGAAUUUUCCCAAAUACUCUUCACUUCACCAAUAAAUGAUUCCUCCAGCACCCACCAUGCUUCAAAUUAAAACCUUCUCUCCAUGUGCCUCGAAUAUUCGGAUUUAGUAUUUAUGAGCAAUAGACAGUGAUCGAAAAAGGAAUGUGAUAGAUGACGAACUUGAUAAUCGAGAAAUAAAACAAGCCAGCUGUCAGUAGCUACCCUUCUAUCUAGCUGUUCUUGAAUAUUAGUCUCUGGAAAUUACCUCUCUCCCAUGUGAACCAAUUCCCAGAAAAGCCCAUAUCAAUUAAAUUGCAAUCCUCCAACACCCUUCUAAAAGCUUCCAUUCUUCCUUCCUCCCGUGAUAAGCUUUCCUUGUCUCACAUCUGUACAUGAUCUCGUUAAAAUCCCCACUUACCAGCCAUGGAAGUUCCCCAGCUUCACACAAUUGUCUUAAAAGAUCCCAUGUUGCAUCUCUAUCUUGGUGAUAAAGAGAUCCAUAAAAUCCGGUAAAUCUCCAUUUAGUACCUUUCUCCAUAUCAUCUAUUAUCACAUCAAUAUGGCUAGUCGAAAAGCUUUGAAGUAAAACACUGAUAUCCCCUUUCCAUGCUAAAUACAAUCCUCCACUUGAACCAAUUGAUCCAACCUCAAUCCCAUUGAAAAAAUCGCAACUUCUUUGAACCUUUUCCAUGUGACUCCUGUCAAUUUUUGUCUCCAUAAAGAAGACCAUUUGGGGAUUAUGUAACUUCAACGUGUGUCGAAGUCUUCAAACUGCCUGCUGGCUCUCCAAACCGCGGACAUUCCAAUUUAAUAUUUUCAUUGUGCCCUGUCGGUUUGCCUCUUGGCAGUCGCCAAUAAUAAAUGUGUGGAAUCCUUUAUAACCUUAGUUCUCACAUCCAUACAGUUUCCUUCUUCUCUUACUGUUAAUCCUUCACUAUCCCCUCUUUUUCGUUUUUUACCUUCAUCCCCCAUUAGUACCCUAUCCUCAAAAUCAUGAUCCAUUGCAUUAAAGCUAUCCACCAUCCCUAAAUUUUCACCUUGAGGAUGGGAUUUAUACAGUCUCCCCUCUAAAUUUAUUCCCAAAAUGGGAUCUAUAUUGCUCCUAAUUCCCAUUUUCUUCUUGGGAAUUCUCAGCAUACCCCCUAUCAUUUGACUUCCCUCCUGAUUUCCGCCGAUACUUCCUCCUCAUCAUCAUGUAACCAAACACUUUUCAUAGCCAAAGCCCUUCGAGAUUGAGCCCGCAGCGUUAAAUCCCAUCCCAUUUCUGCAACUUCCACCCCUAAUGCCAUUUUUGCUUCACAAAAUAAAUCGCUAUGCCCUAAACGACCGUAAUAAAAACAAAACAGUGAUAAACGUUCAUAUUUAAAUCGAACAUAUGAACACUGGCCAUUAAACAUAAGCUGUUUCUUUCUUCUCAAAAGCUGACGUAUAUCCACUUGAAUUCGUAUCCUCAUAAAAUUACAAUUCUCUUUCCCUAACAUAGAAUUGUCAUACUCUAUAAAAAACCCUAUAAAAUUCCCAAGUUGCACCGCCAAAUGUUCAGCGAAAAAACCAAAAGGAAUAUCAUGGAUCUGAACCCAAAAGGGUGAAAAAAUUAAAGGGACAUUCAAUGGGUCUUCCUCGCUUUGCAGCUUAUGUAACAGCAGUAAAUGUCUGUUAAAGGUCCAUGACAAACCCUUUAAGACCCUUUCCAUGUCCAUAAUAUGAAAAAAUUGAAACAAUUACCUUUUUUCCCCCAGAUCUCGAAUUUAAACACCACAGACAGGAUACCACAAAUUUGCCAUGGUAUUUUUCAUUCCUGGAAAAUGGAUGACACUAGCUGUUAAAAAGCAACCCACCAAUUGGAAAAAUCCCCUCACCCUAUAUGUGUUUGUUUCUGCUUGAAUUUGCAAAACCUCAUCUUUCUCCUCAUUAAUCGAAAGUUCAGCAAAAUUAGAUUCCAUAAUCAAGACUCACGUUCAGUAGCUAUUGUAUUUUCCAAAGAAAAAUAGAUAGCAGCAGGGCAACUGCUAGAGAUAGCAGACAGAGACGUGCUAGAGAUAGCAGACCUAAAUAAAGAGAUUAGGUUAGUUCAUUAAAUAAGGUAGAAUUAUUAUCUUUUUAUGUUGAAAUAAAAUUAUAUCUAAUUUAAAUAUAUAUUAAUUAAAUAGUCCAACAUAAGUAAAAUUCUUAGUUAAAUUUAUUUGUGAAAUAUUUUGAAAUAAACAAAAUACUUACUCGAUAGCUAUGUUUACUUGAAUUUAACAUAAAAGUUUUAACAAUUUUUACAAUUAAAUUUAUAUUUUUAAACUCGAAAAGUGAAAAAUAGAUAAUUAAAAUCCUAACAAUAGAAGUAAAGAGACCAAAUUUUAAAUAUAUGAAGAUUACAGGUACUUAUAAAGAUUUUAAACUUUUUUUUUAAUUAACUCAUUUUCUUUCUCUCUAUUGACACCAAACCACACUAUAACUACAGGGAAUUAGGAAAAGCAAAAAUUCUGUAUUUAGCUCCUUGAAAAUUCGCUACGUUUUCUCCCAUAUUAUAUGCUCUGCUCUGCUCGCCAGUUCCCAGUCUCUCCAUGAAAGAACCUUCCCUCUCCCUUUAUCCUCUCUAAACUUCAUUCCAAUCCAACCCCUUUUUUCUCUCUUGUUUUUUCAUUACUAAAUCGACUAAGGAACCUUUUUUUUUGGGUUCUUUUUGAAAAGCAAAACUCCCGAGCAUUAAUGGAGAAAAAGCAAGGUUUUUUCUCAGCUCUCAAAGAGGAAGUAAUUCGUGGGCUUUCACCUUCCCGCUCGAGGACCAACAGCCCCGGAAGAGCCCGGUCACCUAUUGCCAUUCUGUUGCGGAGAAAGAAAAGCGGCCACUACAACUACGGAGGCGCUUACCUGGUACAACCGGAGCCCUUGAUCGCGAGGUACGGUGUCGGGGAAGCGUUAGCUCCGCUCAUGGAAGGUCCCGACCCGGACGGAGGCGAAACCGGGGAUUCCAAGAGGCUUGGGUUGGGGCUAGGACAAUGGGUUAUGGGACAGUUAUCGAGGACUCCAUCCAUGGCUUCCUUGAGUUGCAAAAGGUCCGAUCUAAGGCUGUUGCUCGGGGUCAUGGGCGCACCUUUGGCUCCUGUUCAAGUUUGCUCCACUGACCCUUUGCCUCACUUGAGCAUCAAAGACACUCCCAUUGUUAGUACCCUUCCGCCCCCCCCCCCCCCCCCGGUCUUCUUUAGCUUAUAAUAGACUUAAAAAAGAACAAAUGAACUUCUGGGUGUUUUUUUUCUGCUUAUGAUGGUUUGAAUGGCGACUAAAGUAUUUAUCAUUUAUAGUAUUUUAUUUGUAAUGUUCUUGUAUUUUUCUUUAAGCUUCUUCUAUGGUCUAUGGAUCCAUUUUAUUAAAUCAUGGUUUUCAAACUGUGGUUAGCAAGAAACUUGAGUAAAAACUCCAUUUCUUUGCGGUAUGGUGCAGGAAACGUCCACUGCUCAGUACAUAUUGCAGCAGUAUACAGCUGCUUCCGGUGGUCUGAAGCUGCAAAACUCAGUCCGGAAUGCGUAUGCGAUGGGAAAACUGAAAAUGGUAGCUUGUGAGUACGAAACUGCUGCGAAGACGGUUAAGAACCGAUAUGGCUCCAGAGGUGCGGAGUCCGGUGGGUUUGUGCUCUGGCAAAUGAAUCCGGACAUGUGGUAUGUUGAACUUGCGGUUGGGGGCAGCAAGGUUCAUGCUGGCUGUAAUGGGAAGCUUGUAUGGAGGCACACACCUUGGCUUGGAGCUCGCACUGCAAAGGGGCCUGUUAGACCCUUGCGUCGUGCACUUCAGGUGAGGUCUCCUAUGCUUAUCAGCAGCUGAAUAUUGGCUCUUCGGUUAUAUUUCUAGCAUUACUGGCUUUCUGAUUCUCUCUUUGUGCUUCACUAUUCCUAAAUCAGGGUCUUGAUCCGAGAACUACAGCUAGUAUGUUUUCUGAUGCAAAAUGUAUAGGAGAGAAGACAAUUAAUGGUGAGGAUUGCUUCAUCCUCAAGCUCUGUACCGACCCCCAGACAUUGAAGGCAAGGAGUGAAGGCCCUGCGGAGAUCAUUAGGCAUGUCUUAUUUGGCUACUUUAGUCAGAAGACCGGGCUUCUGGUUCACAUGGAGGAUUCACAUUUGACUCGUAUUCAAUCCAACGGUGGCGAUACUGUUUACUGGGAAACCACAAUCAAUUCAUAUCUUCAUGAUUACCGACCUGUCGAAGGUAUCAUGAUAGCACAUUCUGGCCGUUCUGUCAUUACACUUUUCAGGUUCGGGGAAGCUGCAAUGAGCCAUACGAAAACAAGGAUGGAAGAAGCUUGGACGAUCGAGGAGGUUGCCUUUAACAUACCAGGCCUUUCUGUUGAUUGUUUUAUCCCUCCAGGUGAUUUGAAAUCUGGAUCCAUCAGUGAAACCUAUGAACUACCUCAGGACGAAACAGGGACGAGUGCGAUCGCCUUAUCAGCAUAUCAUGCCAAAGUUGCUGCACUCGAGAGGGCACAGGAUAAUUGGCUGACAGUAUGAUUUGCAGGAUACAAGUCUGAAGAAGUGUAGAAUUCACAACUUAGCAAGUGCUCAAAUUGGUAGCUAGUUCAGUUGACUAAUCCAUUAGAAGUUAAAAAAAAGAAGAAGGUAGAAGUCAAUUUUUGGACUUCAGUGUUACGCCUCUAUUAAUCUGUAAAUAGAGCAUAAUGAUUCAUAUCGGGACCUCUAUGAAUCUUUAUACUCUCAAUGCAGAAUCCAACUAUGGAGAGUUGGAGCUCGGUUUUUCCAAUUAGGGAUAGAGCUAAUGGAGGUUGGUUUUUAGUUUACCUGGCUUUGAUGGUAAGUAGCAAAGCUGCCCCAUCGACCCUUUUAUUUUUUCUAUAGUUAUACUAACUAUAUAUAGUAUGGCAGCAUAAAGGAUGCUGCCAGUUUAACAGUAAUGUCUAGGUUUUUUUAUUUUUUUUGAUGUUACAAAUUCUGGAUUUGUGAUUCAAAGUGUGAUGAUUUGGGUUGAAAGUUGUUUUGGGGGGGUUUGAGAGAAGGGAAAGAGAUUUUGCCAUUUUUGUGGAAAUGGUGAUAAAUAGGCAUAAUGGUAAAUGAGAUGGAACUAACUAUAUUUCUUACCUUCUGAAAGUUAUUCAAUGCUUUUGAUGAAUAUACAGUGAUCCCCAUAUUUCCUUCAUUCUUUUCUGAGUUUUAAUACGUGACUUGUGAAUGCCCAGAUUAUCUUUGUACUACAAGUGACGACACUCGAACCCUAAUGCUGUUGUUAGGGUGUUAAUAAGAACUUUGGUUGAACCACCAUAUCUUUAAGAAUAUACUUAAUCUUCCUACACCAAGUAGGCAGCAAUAUCUAAGGUUAUCUUUGACCCAUCACUGCCAUUGGAACCCUUUAAGGCUUGAGUGUGUCCCCUUGGUGGGGUGUCCAAAGCUGUUUUUAGUCAGACAAGCCAACAUAUUUUUGAAGCAAUGCAAAGCCCCACCUUUGACCACAGGUGUAAUGUGGGGUUAGGUUGGUUCAGUGGUGUGAAGUUGUGGUAGCAUCGUUCAAAGCUAAAAAAGCUAAGCACGAGAUGAAAGUUCCUCAAAACCCCCAUGUGAUUCUUCAUUCUUUUGCUUUUGCUUUGAUUCCUUUGCUUAACUGUUUUAACAGAUCUUUUUACCUGCUUUUGCCAACUUAUUUAUUUAUUUAUUUCGGUCUUUCUUCAUCUUUACUCUCUAAGAUAUAUAUAGGUGCUGAGGGUAGGGAAAGUUCCAACUCAUCCCAUGUUUUCUGAAAAGUCAAUCUAUCUUUCUUUUACUCCAUUUUCUUUUUCAGGAGCCACAGAGGACUUCUCUCUAUAUGUAAAAUCAAGUCAUAAAAUUUGGGCAUAUUUUAAUAAAUGCAUUAUAAUAUAUUUUUACUAAAAUGUUUUUCUUUUAAUUUUACAGGUAUUAUAUCUAUUUUGAUUAAAUUUUAUCAUUAUAGAUGGCUUGAGGAGUUUUUUUUUUUUUUUUUACUUUACCGAUGGUGUACAAGACAAUAAUUCAAAAUAAUAAAUAUAAAAUAAGAAAAAAAUACUAUAUAUGUAUUUGUAUUAAGAGUUGAAUUUUAUUUUAUCCUCUCUACUCAAAAAAUGGGUUAAUUAGUCAUGUAUGUUAGAUCAAAGAGCAAAUUGAUCUUUUUGUAAAAUAUUCUAUCCAUUCUUGCUACUAAUAAUUGGUCCAUAGACUAAUUUACUCUUUCAUCUAAUGUACAAGAAUUAAUUUAUCCGUUUUUUAAGUAAAGGUAGCAAAAUACAAUGUGACUUCUAAUAUAAGAGUUUUCAUGGUACUUCUAUUAUAUAAAACAUUAUAAUAUUAUGUAAAAUAUAAAGUUGAGUUGGGAUGUUUUUUUUUUUCAAGAAGUUGGAGGGCAGGUGGAUUGAAGAAAUCAUUUUGGGGUCGGAAUUGGAUGCUAUUAAUUUUGAGUUUAACUUGUUUAAUUUGGUUGACAUCCAUAUUUUUAUCAGUACGAGAAGACGUAGAUUUGAGUGCGUUGUAGUCCAUUAACCUUUUCCCUUAAAAACUUAGCUGUAAAGUAAUUGACAAAACAAUUUACUUACAAUAAAUUUGCACUAGAAUAAUUUCUUGACUUAAACAAAAUAGGUUCUCUUAAUCUCAAGAAUUCUGUUAAAUUGGUGUUUAAUGGCUUGCAAAAGUACAACUAAGGUGUUCAAAUUUCGGUUAAAAUCGAAUGAACCGACCGAAUCGAACUAAUUCGGUUGAUCUGUCAGUUAACCAAUCUAAUUCGAUCAGAGGGUGGUUAAUGGUUUCUUGGAAGUUCGAUUAUCGGUUAAUUCUGGUUGAAAUCGGAUAAUUAACCGAAUUAACCGAACUUUUAAAAAACCAAUAUUAUAUAUUACCAUUUCGGUUAAGGGUUAAGGGUUUAAAAAUUUCGGUUAAUUCAAUUAAUGCUAGUUUGGUUUGGUUAAACGAUUGAGCACUCCUAAGUGCAAUUAAUGUAGAUCUCUCUCUUUUUUUCUCUAUUCAAAAAAUAGUCUUCAAUAAAGAAAAAAGUGGAAGAGAUAUUCUCGAUAUAAACUUCUUUAAAAAUAAAAUCUCUUUAAUUAUGGAAAUUUCGAUCACAUUGAAAGUAUUGAUAAAGUCCUUACUUUGACAUGAUUCUUAUACAAUUUGCCUUCACUAAUGCACUGCCAAAAAAGCCUUCCAAGAUGCUCAAUUAAAAACCCCAAUAGUUUUGAUCAAAAGAUGUCAACCAGUAUGAUAAGUUACAGUUGUUUGCCAAAUGCACGUUAAAUUACAACUGGAGUUGCACCUGACAUUUAUAACUAGCACUAACAAAUUAAUUGAGUGUAAAUCUUUGAUUGCCUUCACUAUGUGUAUACUCAAACAUAUAUGUUGAACAUACAUCCAAUAAUAACAAAAAUAACCAACAAGCUAUUGGUUUAGUAAUAACUUGUACGUGGGUUCAUGUGUUGACAUGCAUCUAGGGUUUAAUCCCUAUGAAAUCCCUUUCGGCUAAAAAAAGGGAAAAAAAAACGUAUACUUUAACAAUUUUUAAGGUAUCUACUAAUUAUUUCAUUUAAUUUUUUAAUACCCUUCAUUUGUGUAGAAGGUUCUUUAGUGGAGAGAGGAGGUGUUGCAAGCAAGUAAAUAGAAUGCAUCAGGAGUAGCUAGAGAGGAAGACUGGAGCAAAUCUUAUAAAUUGAGCGUAGUAAUAGGUGGGGGCUUAUAAUGUGGAAAAAGGUUGCACGUGGCUUAGAAUAAGACUAAGUAUGAGAAUAGUUUAAAAGAGUUUUAGAGAUAGUUUUGGGAGUUAGAAUACUAAAAUUGUUAAAAAGUCCUUUCACAAGUUGCAAAAGGCUUCUAUUUAUAAUGUCUAAAAAUAAGAGUAUUAAAUAGGGGUAAUGACAAAUAUUGUAAGUUAUAAAGGCAUUAAUAUCCUUUUAAUAAUAAAUAGUUUAGGCUUAAUGGUGAAGGGUAAAUAAGGAAUAAGAAUUCACUAUGUUUCUGAAAGAAAAGAGAGAAUCACAUAAUGUUAUAUGAAAAAGUUAAGAAGAAACCUUUUAACUACAUCCUUAUUUGAUCCACCAAAUCGAUCUUCGGAACAUCCUAAGAAUCUUGCCUUAUUUUGAGGUUAUUUCCACUUCUUCCGUUUUUGUGAAGUAAUACCUUGUGAAACAUUUUAUCUAGAACAUCACUUGAAAUGCAAGCUAUUCUUAAUGAAGAAUUCUUCUUGAAUGAGAGUUGUUCCUGAAUAAGGGUUAUUUUUACUUAUUCCAAAAGUGAAUUGUUCUCAACAUAGCCAUCCUUAGUAGUGGUUGUUUCAAGCAAGAAUCGUUUUGCAAUGAUGCUUUUCUUUAAAGAGAUUAUUUUGAAUAAUGACUCAUCUUUAAAAAAAAAAAAGAAAAAGAAACUCACAAUUGUUCUAAAUAGAAAUUGUUUUGAAUUAUGGAUAUUCUAAACAAAAAUUGUUUUGAACAUUAGUUGUUCCCAAAUGACAACUAUACUCACAGCUAUUUAAACUAGAGCUUUAUUCUGAACAUAGUUAUUUUGAACUAGCUAUUCUUAACGACGAUUAUUUUGAACAACAAUUAUUUUAAACAAAAAAUGUUCUUUCGGAAAAAGAAUUAAGUGAAACAAUAUUUUUACUUAUUCAUAGUUAACCUUUUUAUCAUCUUUGGGAGUGCAAUUCACCUUAUUACUCUGAAAAGAGAUAAAAGAUUAGUAGUAAAACUAGUAUCUACAUUUUUUUUGUCGUAAUCAAGGUAUCUAUCGCUAAUGGCAAUGACUAAUCCUCUUGCCAUGGGUGAAAACGAUUAGUCAUAAAAUGUUUUAUUCCCUUGAGCAGAGAUCGAACCCUCAACCGUAUAAUAAAGGAUGAGAUGAGCAAUCACCACACUAUUCCUCAUAAUUAAAACUAGUAUCUACAUUUUAUCUAUCUUAUGGUUUCUUUUUGUGUUUUUUUUUCCAUCUUCAUAAGUUGCAGCAGGAUAUUUAGGGAGUGUUGUUAAACUGGUGGACAUUGUUGAGCACUUCAAAAAUACAUGUGGAUAAUACACAAUAUAAUAUGCAAUAAAAGUUAGCAAUGUCAAUUCAUAUUAGAGUGUCGGCAAAGGAAAUUUGUACGUGAAAGUGGUAAAAACAUAGAUAUUUAUGAGAGUGAAGGGGUAAAAAAAACCAUAUUAAUGGCAGUGCAUGGUGGAGCAAUGGAGCAAGAGGGUAUCUCAGUUGACUUCAACGUACGUUGCUUUCAAUGGGGGGAAAGGGGAAACUUAAUUUAUUUUUAUUUUUGCUAAAAAUUUAUUGAAGAUGGUUAAGAAAAGGACAAUACGAGGGACUUGUACAACAUUGAUAAAAUCUAAUUGUUGCAACAUUCAUAAAAAUUUGUUUUGGGUAAGUGGUGGGAGAGUCUAUCACCUAUCCAUAAGUCGGGUUAUUGGUUUGAAGGUUACUCGAAAUACAAAGGGUUUAGAUAAAAAGACGAUACUCACAAAAUGAGUUUCGGCAAAAAGUAGGCUGAUUAAAAAUAAAGACUAGACCUAAACUUUAAUAUUUAAGGCUCGAACUUAGCUCGACCCACCCAUUCUAUACUUUUGUAUUAUAUUUUUAUUUUAUGUAUAUAUUAUGUAAAUUAUAUCACAUGAAAUUAAAUAUAUAUCUAUGAUAAUACAAUACUAGGUAACAUUAUAACAAAGAUGUCUAAAUUUAAAUUUUUAAUAAAAAAACCAUAUAAAAUAUAAAAUAUUAAAUUAAAAAUAAUAUAUUUUUUAAAAAAAUAAUAUGAACGUGCCUAAAACAGAUUUGGAUUAACCAUUUAUAAAUCUAGGAAAAUUUAAACUAAAUUUUAGACACAUAUUUAGAGUCAGGUCGAACCAAGCUUAGACAAAUAUAAAAUGUGUUAAUAUUAUACAAUACUUGACUCACCCAUAAACACCUCUAACCUUUACUAAUUGAAAUUUGGGAAACUAUUGAGUUGCAUUUUAUAUAUUUCACAAGUAUGCAGGCUAGGUUUUGGGUUGGUGGCAUCCAUGGUUGAAGGUUUGGAAAUUUUAAAAUAUCAAGUUUGAGUCUUAAUUUAUAUAAAUCAUAUUUAGAUUUUUAGUUUAGAUUUGUUUUGAAUCUGAUAUAAACGCAUAUAUUUAACUAAUUUUUGUUUCGAAUAUAUUUUUGUUAUCAGUUCAUUUAUACAUUGUAAUGAUUGAUUUUGAUCGUAAUGAUAUAAACGUAUAUAUUGUAAAUAUAAGUAUAACUUUUAAGAUUAUAUAUAUUUAACUAAUUUUCUUCUAUGUAAAAUGCACAAAUUAAUUAUAUGUAUUAUUUUUAUUGCAUUACAUUAUUUAUUUACAAAGUUUUGAUAUUUCUUAGUAUUAAGUAUUUUUUUAAUUAAUGUCUACCACAUUGCAUAUUGAGAAGUUAUCAUAUGUCAAUAUAAACUAACGAUGUUAAUACGAAGAUACCAACUAGAAUAUAUACGCAUAUAUACAAAUAUGUAUUGUAAUGAUUAAUUCUGAUCGUAAUGAUAUAUAUGCCUAUAUUGUAAAUAUAAUUUAGACGUGAAGUAUAGAUGGAUAUUUAAGAGAGUAAAGGGAGAAAAAUCCCAUAUUAAUGGCAGUGCAUGGUGAAGCAAUGGAGCAAGAUAGUAUCUCAGUUGACUUGAACAUGCAUUGCUUUCAAUGAGGGAAAAGAGGGAAACUUAAUUUCUUUUUCUGCUACAAAUUUAUUGGAGAAAGAUGGUUAAUAAAAGGGACAAUAAGAGGGACUAGGACCAGAUUGAUAAAAUAUAGUUGUUGCAACAUUCAUAAUAAUUUCUUUUUGGGGAGACACCGUGGUUGAUUGAAAUAUGGGAAAUUAUUUUGUAAUAGUGUUGAAGUUUUUUAAAUUUCACAUGUAUGUCAAUGAGGUUUUAGCUAGAUGGCAUGGUCGAGGUUUUGAUAAUUUAAAAUUCUCAAGUUUGAAUCUCACGUUGUAUAAAUUAUGUGUAAAAUUUCAGUUUAGAUUUGUUUUUUACAUUUGAAUAUGUAAAAUUAAAUUAUUUGUAAGCACCAACUCCCUCAUAGACAAUCAUGGGGCUUUAGAUGGGCCUAAAAGUCUCAAAGUCAGCAGGCUCCAUACGCGUCAACUUAGUGGACCCACAUCACUCAAGAACUUGGCCCAUGCAUAUGAUUCAAAAUAAUAGUAUUGUUGUUGGGUCCAAAACCAAAUAAAGCUAAAACUAUGUUGCCUAAAUUAAAUAACUCCUACAAAAUCAUAGAUCAAUAUAGAAAAGAUGUAGAAUAUGCUUCGCAUUUUGGUUAAAUUAAAACACAAAUAGAGAGUGACGUCGUGAUAAGGAGUUUUGGAUGUCGCGACGACACCAUAGGGGACAUUGCAAUUUUCUUGAUUUUCUUCUUCCAGUCAAAUUCUGAUUAUUUGUUCUAGUCGAACUCUAAUUAGUGUAGAUUAUUUUAAGAUUAUUUGACUUACGAAUUUAGCCUAUAAAUAGGCCCUUUUUUCUACCCUAGAAAGAUUAACCCAUAACACAUUUAAGUAUUAGCUUUUACAAGCUUUCUGAGAAUUUUAUAUUUAAGUUUUGAGAGUUCUUAUUUUCAGGUUUCGGGAUUUAGCUUUUAUCUCCAUCUUUAUACUCUUCGUUUUUGCCGAUUUAGUGAAUUAUCUUUGCCUGUGGUUUUUACCCUCUUCGGAGGGGUUUUUUCACGUAAAAUUUGUGUAUUCGAUCUUUUCAAUUUUUUCGUUAUUUUUCUUGUUCAUUGCUUAUACAAGUUUAUCCCCAACAGAAGAGGUCAUUGUCAUCAUUUAAAGCAGAAUCACAUCUUAACCUAACUUAAACUUGAUAAACACAAACUCAAAAAUAGAAAUUUGAUUUCAUAAAUUUGAUAUUCCAAGCUUGAUACUAAAUAAUCAAUACCUACAAAAUACUUAAAAACAAAAAAAAAAAAAGAUAAUCAAUCUCCGCUUCAUCUCACAAGACACAAAGUUUUCAAAGCAAAAUCAAAGAUUCGUUACAAGAUCUAGCCAAAACAUCAAGUAAUGAUCCGAUCAAAAUUCCAUCAAAGAAAUAUUAUUUACAAUUUCAUUAUAUUACUCAAAGAAAUGCUCUCACCACUCCCAUUCAAGGACAGCCAAAAUGUCUCUAAACAUUAACUCAAAACAAGAUCCAAAGAAGAAAGUUGAAGAAUAAAAGAGAAGUUGUGACUAACCCUCUUAAAUCGCUUUAAGCCAAUCAAUUAUUACAUUUAGCUUUAACUACCCAAGUUAUCCAACACAUUUAUUUUGAUAGGAAUAAUACUCAUAAGGACUUUAAAAUAAAGUUGUAAUCAUUAAUUUCAAUUACUUUAUUUUCAUCAUGUGGUAGACAUUAUAACCAUGCCAUUGCCAACAACAUCCACAUGGUACCAUGGUCACAUCUCCCCAUUGCCCACCCAUACAUUCAUGGUUCCAUUUUAACUACCCUUUCCAUGACAUCUAUACAACUAUAUAUUAAAGGCACUAAAGCUUUUCAAUUCUAAUUUUUUUUUUUUUUACUUUUUAGAUUAUAAGAAUGGGUAAUUUCCAAUAUGAUCCCUAUAUUUUAUUUAAAUUUAAGAUUUAAUCUAUAUACUUUAAUUUUGACAUAAUUUAAUAUCUCAAUUUUUAUAAUGCCAUUAGUUAGCCUAAAUAUUUUAUUCUAAUUAAAAUGAUUAAUAUAUGAAUUUUUAAGAAUUGUUAGCACUCUUAAAUUUUUUUAUUGAAUUUAUGUCUGUUACAAUGUUUUUUUUUGUUACAUGCAUACCAAGUUUAUUUUAUUUUUUCAAAAUGCCUAACCAACACAAAAGAAUUUUAACAGUAUUAACAAAUGGACCUAAAUUUUUAAAUUCGAAAAGCAGAGAAACUAAAUUCCUGAAAAUAAAAAUAUAAAGAUUAAAUUCUAAAUAUAUGAAUAAUAAAAAAAUUUGAACAGAUUGUAACCUUUAAAGUUUUACGCUAUAAUUUAAUUAAAAAAUAAAUAACUUAAUUGUACCCUUUGGACAAUAAUUUGAGCAUACCUUCAAAAUUGCUCAAGAUUAAAUGUUGACAUUUUGACUUGAUCUCCAUAAUUGUUUUCUUAUAAGCAAAUAAAUGGUGGUCGAAUUUGGAUGAUUGAAGGAACUAUGAGAUCAUCAUGCCCUUAUCCAUUAAGGCUUACCCUCAUCCUUAUUCUUUAAACAUUAUCUUAUGAAUUAUGCUGAUGAAUUUUCUUAUAUAAGAUUGUAUUUUGAGAUGAAUUUUGGAGGUUUUUAUCUCAAAUUAUUAUGCAUUAAAUUGGUGAUUUUAUCUCCACAAAAUCUGCUAAGAGGAGACUUUUUUACUAGUUUAUAAAUAGACUGCUACUUCCUCGUUGAGUUAUUUGGGUGUAUUUAGACACUCCUUGUUCUUUUGUACUAGCAUAUAAAUACAGUGUUGAUCAGCUUCCUCAUUUAAUACUGUAUGUAAUGUGAGUUAUUUGGAGAGAUUAAUUUGUUUGCAGCUACAAUUAUUAUUGCGAGAGGUUAGAUUGGGCUUUUGCUAAUAGUUAUAUCGGAUUAACUGUUGAAUAAAAUUAUUCUUUGAAUGAAGCUUGCAAAUAGGAUUUGUGAAUCCAUAUUGAUUCUUUAUUUACUUAUCUUUUGUCUCAUGUUUUGAAUUUGUGUUUAUUUCUCUCUUUAUUUUACUUCUUUUUUUAAUGUGUUUAAAAGGUUUUCUUCGAACUUCUAUUCAAUCAUCUAUUUGAAUAUUAAAUUAAAUGUUGAAUGAUAAAAAAACCCGAAAAAACAAUUUAAAAAAAAAAAAGAAUGAUGAGAGAAGGAAGUAGGCAGCCACCAACACAAAAUCCCAUACAAAAAGAAACAAUAGAAGUCCCUCCAAUACAAAUGAAAAAUAUAAAAGCUCCCCUCAAAAAAAAUCUCCCAAAGAAUACAAAUAUAUAUAAAUAAAUGUAAGCUCAAAUAUGCAUAGUAAAAAGCCCCAUCAAAGAGACUUAAGCCAGUAACAAUAUAUAAUGGAAAUUAAAACACUGAAAACAAAAACCAUAGCUAAGACACAAGUGGUGAAGAAAAGACUUCUUGGUUUAAAGCAUUAAACUGAGGAUACCCCAUCCAAUCACCAAGCUCCACACCAUCUUUCUUAUGGACCAUGUUUUCUGUACUCCACUCUGCAAUAAUCAAAUAACAUCUUGUAUUCAUAUUUUUUCCCACUAUUAUUAUAAUUGGAUAUGCAAAAAAAAAAUAGCUUCAUCCAUUGAAAGCUAAACAUGUUUUUGGAUAAAAAUAUAUUAAAUUUGAAAAAAUGAAUUUAGACUAUAAUAUUAAAAAAUAUUUAAAAAAUAAAUUGGGUUUUAGUUAAAUAUUUGAAGUAUAGACAUAGAUAGAAUUAAUUAAUUAUAAAUAUAGAUAAAUUUCAACAAAAUUUAUAGAUGCCAUUAAUAUGAUAUGUGUGUGUUGAUCCAACCUGAGGUCUAAUUAAAGCUUUCCAUGUCAGAGUUUACGUUAGAAUUUAGAACACCCUCUAUAUUUUUGCUAUAUUAGACAUACUUAAAUUUUAAACCCCAUAAGAGAAUAUGCAUAUACAUAUACAUAUAGAUAUACAUACCGUAUCGGUUCCAGCAGGGCCUGGUGAAGAAGCGCCGAGGCUGGGAGUAGGGGCCUCAUUUGAUGGAGACGGUGGGCUGGAGGCCGAAGGUGAUAGUGCUGGAGACUUAGCUUUGGUCUUGCUAGGGGCCGGAGCUGGAACCGUGGCAGGAGGAGAAGCCAAAGGAGCUGGUGGUGGGGUAGCUGGAGGAGGAGUAGCAGGAGGGGGAGAAGCAGGUGGUGGGGUAGCCGGAGGUGGAGAAGCCGGUGGGGGAGUUGCGGGAGGUGGAGUAGCCGGGGGAGGAGAAGCUGGUGGUGGGGAGCUAACGGGCGGGGGAGUCGCUGGAGGAGGAGUGGAAACUGGUGGUGGUGAUGAAGUAGGAGGAGGAGAGGAAGCUGGUGGCGGAGAAGUAGUUGUGGGUGUUGGAGGUGGUUGAGUAGUAGGUGGAGGUGUGGAAGCGGGUGGAGUCGGCGGCGCCGGCGUGGAUGUCGGAGGAUUACUAGGAGUAGGAGGAGCUUGGCCUAAAACGCCAGCUACAGCAAUGCAAAACAAAGCUGAUAAGAACAAAAACUUAUUAUUAAGCAUCAUAUUGGAAACAAUGGUGACCCUUUAAUCCUGCACACCCUCUCCGCUUAAACUACGCCCAGCCGUGCAAGCAAAUGAG
This 23199-nucleotide long non-coding RNA is filed under the name Gossypium barbadense (sea-island cotton). RNAcentral's name for it is "long non-coding RNA (GBAR_LNC012156)". Lineage: Eukaryota; Viridiplantae; Streptophyta; Magnoliopsida; Malvales; Malvaceae. The record is from RNAcentral.